UCCUGGCUCAGAUUGAACGCUGGCGGCAGGCCUAACCUCUCAAAUCGAGCGGUAGAGAGAAGCUUGCUUCUCUUGAGAGCCUUAGACGGGUGAGUAAAGCCUAGGAAUCUGCCUGGUAGUGGGGGAUAACGUUCGGAAACGGACGCUAAUACCGCAUACGUCCUACGGGAGAAAGCAGGGGACCUUCGGGCCUUGCGCUAUCAGAUGAGCCUAGGUCGGAUUAGCUAGUUGGUGAGGUAAUGGCUCACCAAGGCGACGAUCCGUAACUGGUCUGAGAGGAUGAUCAGUCACACUGGAACUGAGACACGGUCCAGACUCCUACGGGAGGCAGCAGUGGGGAAUAUUGGACAAUGGGCGAAAGCCUGAUCCAGCCAUGCCGCGUGUGUGAAGAAGGUCUUCGGAUUGUAAAGCACUUUAAGUUGGGAGGAAGGGCAUUAACCUAAUACGUUAGUGUUUUGACGUUACCGACAGAAUAAGCACCGGCUAACUCUGUGCCAGCAGCCGCGGUAAUACAGAGGGUGCAAGCGUUAAUCGGAAUUACUGGGCGUAAAGCGCGCGUAGGUGGUUUGUUAAGUUGGAUGUGAAAUCCCCGGGCUCNACNUGGGAACUGCAUUCAAAACUGACUGACUAGAGUAUGGUAGAGGGUGGUGGA
RNAcentral lists this ribosomal RNA (652 nucleotides) under uncultured bacterium. Its description in RNAcentral is "bacterial SSU rRNA". It matches the Rfam family "Bacterial small subunit ribosomal RNA", at positions 17 to 665 of the family's 1533-position model. The record is from RNAcentral.